GAUGAAGAGCGUAGCGAAAUGCGAUAAGUAAUGUGAAUUGCAGAAUUCAGUGAAUCAUCGAAUCUUUGAACGCACCUUGCGCUCCUUGGUAUUCCGAGGAGCAUGCCUGUUUGAGUGUCAUUAAAUUCUCAACCUCACCAGUUUUGUAACGAGACAGGUGAAGGCUUGGAUGUGGGGGUUUUGCAGGCUGCCUCAGUGCUGGUCUGCUCUCCUGAAAUGCAUUAGCGAGCUCAUAUUGAGCUUCCGUCUAUUGGUGUGAUAAUUAUCUACGCCGUGGAUUGGACUCAUGCUUGCUUCUAGCCGUCCGCAAGGACAAUUUACUUGACCAAUUUGACCUCAAAUCAGGUAGGACUACCCGCUGAACUUAAGCAUAUCAAUAAGCGGAGGA
Molecule: unclassified non-coding RNA, 388 nt
Filed under: soil metagenome
Description: partial contains 5.8S ribosomal RNA, internal transcribed spacer 2, and large subunit ribosomal RNA
Rfam family: 5.8S ribosomal RNA (bases 1-120)
Source: RNAcentral